RNAcentral lists this long non-coding RNA (816 nucleotides) under Chrysolophus pictus (golden pheasant). Its description in RNAcentral is "lncRNA (ENSCPIG00010014153.1)". The record is from RNAcentral. Lineage: Eukaryota; Metazoa; Chordata; Aves; Galliformes; Phasianidae.
GAUUUUUUACCUCGUGCUCUUCUGUGGAGAUAAGUUGGAAAUUAUAUAACUCUAGAAUAAUUUGCUUUGAAUAAAAAUACUUUCUUCAUCUUUAGGAGGAGGUGGAGGGGGAGACGUAGUGGGAAGACUUUCCCAACUGGCUCUAGUAAAAAACGUUAUAGCUUAGGGUCUGAGCAGUCUGAAUUUAACAGAGAAUAGGAAGGUAUUUAUAAAGACAAACAUAAGAUCCUAAAAUGUAUCUUAGACUGUAACGGGAGCAUCAGAGGAGCAGAAUCAAAACUGUGGAUCAGCUGCAUGUGAAAUAAAACUUCUAUGUGUGCAUAGAAGUGUGCGGAAUUAAAGACUGAAGACAGCAAGGGGAAACAACUGCGUAUUUUUCCUAAUAGUUGAAAAUAAUUAAAUUAGAUAAAAUUCUUUUUUUUCCUUCUACUGUUUCUCCACUGCAACAGCUCUGUGUAGAUGAAGAAUCUGUUUACAGUCUGCUGCCUACAUCAGUGGAACCAGUGAAAGGGAAGGGCAGCAGAACUGCUAAUAGAAAAACACUGUGGAGUGAGAGACCUACUCUGUGCACUAAGUUCCCUAGGACCUUGCCCUCAGAUAUUUCAUACUGGAGUCUUACUCCUCUGCUAGAUGCUCUAAAUCUGGAAGCCUCUUGCCCAAUUAACUUUCCUGUGCACAGCUGGAAUCCCCCUUGCAGAUGGAGAUCUGUCACCAGCCUCUUUGAAAGCUGUGGUCUGUGGCAUGCAUCCAUUUCAGAUGUGACAUCAGUAGGGUGCAAGUGGAAAAUAUACUCUGCUGGUGGCUAUACUGAUUCAG